UUAGGUGAAAUUAUUAUUAUUUUGUAAAUUUAAAUGGAAGCUAAUAAACUUUAAAGAUAAACUAGGAUUAGAUACCCUAUUAUAUUAAAGUUAAAUUUAAAUAAAUAUUAAAUUAUUAAUAGAUAUAUCUUAAAACUUAAAGAAUUUGGCGGUAAUUUAGUCUUGUCAGAGGAACCUGUUUAAAAUUGAUCGAUAUACCUCGUAAUAUCUUACUUGAGUUUGUAUACCAUCAUUAUUAGAUAAUUUUUAAAAAAUAAAUUAUUGGGAUUAAAUUAUUAAAAAAAUUAGAUCAAGGUGCAGCUUAUAAAUAAGUUUAAAUGGGUUACAAUAAAUUUUAUUUAUAUGGAGUAGAUUUUAUGAAGGAGGAUUUGAUAGUAUAUAAGUUUAAUAAGCUUAUAAGAUAAAAGCUCUAAAUUAUGUACAUAUCGCCCGUCGCUUUC
RNAcentral lists this ribosomal RNA (440 nucleotides) under Cryptopotamon anacoluthon. Its description in RNAcentral is "partial 12S small subunit ribosomal RNA". Lineage: Eukaryota; Metazoa; Arthropoda; Malacostraca; Decapoda; Potamidae. The record is from RNAcentral.